Lolium perenne is the source of this 963-nucleotide non-coding RNA. Lineage: Eukaryota; Viridiplantae; Streptophyta; Magnoliopsida; Poales; Poaceae. The record is from RefSeq and is a predicted model, not a curated record.
GGCCAGGCCAGGGCGGAUUGGGGUGGGGGCCGCAUCUCGCGUCGCACGCCGCCGAGCGGCGAGCAGGCGGAGCCGUAGGGGACGGCCACGGCGGCGUGCGAGAGGAGGCGCCGCAGGGGCGCAGCCGGUCCGUCGCGUCGCAGGGAUGGUAAUCCUGGUGGAGCGUGUGGCCCUACUCCGUCUCCUCCCCACCUUCUCCCUCCCGCACAUCAGUGGUGCUGUGGUGGACAGGGAAGGCAGCGGCCCACCGACGGCACCCUCCAUGUGUCUCUUCUCUUGUCACCCAAAUGUUUGAAAGAAGUGAUUAAUUCAGUACACGGUCAUAUCUUCUUGGUGGCAUUCCAAUUGCUGGAAUGAUACUGUUGUAACAAAAAUGGCACGUGCUACAAAUCGUAAAUGCAUAGUUCAAACGGAUUAGUAGUAAGAUUUUAGUCAGAUUCAAGAGUUUCAUCAAUCGCCAGGUUAUGCUGACCAACUUGAAAUAUUCUUGUUGAUUCUUAUAUGUGCUAUUUGGUUCCGGAUGCCAGAGAAGCCGCAGGCUAUGAAUGUAUGCUGAAAAACUUGAGAUCUUAUUGAUUGGUUAUUGUGUUAUUUGGUUUUAGGUGCCGCCGCUAAGGUCGCAGACCUCACAAUGGCCAUGGAGGUUAUGCACGCACUGCUGAUGAUGAGGCUCAUGUGAUAGGGUUGAUGAUGAGGCUGUCGAUAACAAGCCACACGCAGCAAAGAGGGCCUUCCCUAGAGUCUGCUGCAAUCCAUAUGUCGUUGGGAUAGGCUGCUGGAGUGGUGUUCAUGACCGCUGGUGCAGCUUGGGGAGAGAUGCCCGCAUUGAUGUAUAGCAAGUUUCCUGAAGCCAAGGAUGCUUAAUUGGUAUGACAACCUUAUCUUGCAAAAGUUAUACUAGAGGAACAUCUAGGAGCAAGUACUUAAGGUUGUUUGUCUUCUAGUAAUCAAAUCCCUCCGAGC